UACGUAGGUGGCGAGCGUUGUCCGGAAUUACUGGGCGUAAAGCGCGCGUAGGCGGCUUUGUAAGUUAGAGGUGAAAGCCUGGAGCUCAACUUCAGAAUUGCCUUUAAGACUGCAUCGCUUGAAUCCGGGAGAGGUGAGUGGAAUUCCGAGUGUAGAGGUGAAAUUCGUAGAUAUUCGGAAGAACACCAGUGGCGAAGGCGGCUCACUGGACCGGCAUUGACGCUGAGGUGCGAAAGCGUGGGGAGCAAACAGG
Molecule: ribosomal RNA, 253 nt
Filed under: uncultured bacterium
Lineage: Bacteria
Description: partial 16S ribosomal RNA
Rfam family: Bacterial small subunit ribosomal RNA
Source: RNAcentral